GUCCACGCCGUAAACGAUGAAUACUAGGUGUCGGGCCGUAUAGGCUUCGGUGCCGCCGCAAACGCAGUAAGUAUUCCACCUGGGGAGUACGUUCGCAAGAAUGAACUCAAGGAAUUGACGGGACCCGCACAAGCGGUGGAGCAUGUGGUUUAAUUCGAAGCAACGCGAAGAACCUUACCAGGUCUUGACAUCCUUCUGACCACUCCGUAAUGGGAGUUUUCCUUCGGGACAGAAGAGACAGGUGGUGCAUGGUUGUCGU
Molecule: ribosomal RNA, 259 nt
Filed under: uncultured bacterium
Lineage: Bacteria
Description: partial 16S ribosomal RNA
Rfam family: Bacterial small subunit ribosomal RNA
Source: RNAcentral